RNAcentral lists this small RNA (26 nucleotides) under Arabidopsis thaliana (thale cress). Its description in RNAcentral is "ATSL227170". Lineage: Eukaryota; Viridiplantae; Streptophyta; Magnoliopsida; Brassicales; Brassicaceae. The record is from RNAcentral.
AUCGGUCUUUUAUGUGUUCAAGAAGA